UUUUCUUUGACAAGUGAAUCAAUUUUUAUUACUUUCAAUCACCAACAAAGUACAGAGAACAGAGAAAAACAAAAUCACAUCCGAAAGGACAAAAUUCUAUCAAUCCAAUUCUCAGGUAAGGAACCUGCAACGCAUUACGCGCUACUCAUUCCUCGAGCGUUGUUCCUCUGAGGAAUGAACCGAAUAUCAAUAUGCAAAUUAGCACGUAAGGCAAGCGCAAUUGAAACCGUAAUUGCUGCACCCUCCCAAUGGAAGAAAGCCUUAUCCCCAUUCAGCAGACAGACGAGUGAUAGGCAGUCAGAGAAAUAGUGACGGGUGAGC
Molecule: long non-coding RNA, 321 nt
Filed under: Linum usitatissimum (flax)
Lineage: Eukaryota; Viridiplantae; Streptophyta; Magnoliopsida; Malpighiales; Linaceae
Description: long non-coding RNA (LUSI_LNC007933)
Source: RNAcentral